AAAACAACUUUCAGCAACGGAUAUCUUGGCUNUUGCAACGAUGAANAACGCAGCGAAAUGCGAUACGUAGUGUGAAUUGCA
Molecule: ribosomal RNA, 81 nt
Filed under: Catagonium nitidum
Lineage: Eukaryota; Viridiplantae; Streptophyta; Bryopsida; Hypnales; Catagoniaceae
Source: RNAcentral